GAUGAAGAACGCAGCGAAAUGCGAUAAGUAAUGCGAAUUGCAGAAUUUCCGUGAGUCAUCGAAUCUUUGAACGCACAUUGCGCCCACUGGUAUUCUGGUGGGCAUGCCUGUUCGAGCGUCAUUUCAACCCUCAAGCCUGGCUUGGUGUUGGGGCUCUGCGUCUGCAGUCCCUUAAAUCCAGUGGCGGACACGCUAGGUCUCCGAGCGCAGUAGUUUCUCCUCGCUCAGGGCGUCCGGCGUGGGCUUGCCUCGCACCCAUCUUUUACAAGGUUGACCUCGGAUCAGGUAGGAAUACCCGCUGAACUUAAGCAUAUCAAUAAGCGGAGGA
This 328-nucleotide unclassified non-coding RNA is filed under the name soil metagenome. RNAcentral's name for it is "partial contains 5.8S ribosomal RNA, internal transcribed spacer 2, and large subunit ribosomal RNA". The stretch from base 1 to 121 matches the Rfam family "5.8S ribosomal RNA", at positions 35 to 154 of the family's 154-position model. The record is from RNAcentral.